This 443-nucleotide ribosomal RNA is filed under the name uncultured bacterium. Its description in RNAcentral is "partial 16S ribosomal RNA". It matches the Rfam family "Bacterial small subunit ribosomal RNA", at positions 338 to 795 of the family's 1533-position model. The record is from RNAcentral.
CCUACGGGAGGCAGCAGUGGGGAAUAUUGGGCAAUGGGCGCAAGCCUGACCCAGCAACGCCGCGUGAAGGAAGAAGGCCCUCGGGUUGUAAACUUCUUUUGUCAGGGACGAAGAAAGUGACGGUACCUGACUAAUAAGCCACGGCUAACUACGUGCCAGCAGCCGCGGUAAUACGUAGGGGGCAAGCGUUAUCCGGAUUUACUGGGUGUAAAGGGCGUGUAGGCGGGACUGCAAGUCUGAUGUGAAAUGCCAGGGCCCAACCCUGGGACUGCAUUUGAAACUGUAGUUCUUGAGUGAUGGAGAGGCAGGCGGAAUUCGGAGUGGAGCGGUGACAUGCGUAGAUAUACGGAGGAACACCAGUGGCGAAGGCGGCCUGCUGGACAUUAACUGACGCUGAGGCGCGAAAGCGUGGGGAGCAAACAGGAUUAGAUACCCUUGUAGGC